AUUGAACGCUGGCGGCAUGCUUUACACAUGCAAGUCGAACGGUAGCAGGCCGCAAGGUGCUGACGAGUGGCGAACGGGUGAGUAAUGCAUCGGAACGUGCCCAGUCGUGGGGGAUAACUACUCGAAAGAGUAGCUAAUACCGCAUACGAUCUAUGGAUGAAAGCGGGGGACCGUAAGGCCUCGCGCGAUUGGAGCGGCCGAUGUCAGAUUAGGUAGUUGGUGGGGUAAAGGCUCACCAAGCCAACGAUCUGUAGCUGGUCUGAGAGGACGACCAGCCACACUGGGACUGAGACACGGCCCAGACUCCUACGGGAGGCAGCAGUGGGGAAUUUUGGACAAUGGGCGCAAGCCUGAUCCAGCAAUGCCGCGUGCAGGAAGAAGGCCUUCGGGUUGUAAACUGCUUUUGUACGGAACGAAACGGCUCUGGUUAAUACCCGGGGCUAAUGACGGUACCGGAAGAAUAAGCACCGGCUAACUACGUG
This 482-nucleotide ribosomal RNA is filed under the name uncultured bacterium. RNAcentral describes it as "partial 16S ribosomal RNA". It matches the Rfam family "Bacterial small subunit ribosomal RNA", at positions 30 to 507 of the family's 1533-position model. The record is from RNAcentral.